CAGUCGCCGCGGUAAUACGUAGGUGGCAAGCGUUGUCCGGAAUUAUUGGGCGUAAAGGGCUCGCAGGCGGUUUCUUAAGUCUGAUGUGAGAGCCCCUGGCUCAACCGGGGAGGGUCAUUGGAAACUGGGAAACUUGAAUGCAGAAGAGGAGAGUGGAAUUCCACGUGUAGCGGUGAAAUGCGUAGAGAUGUGGAGGAACACCAGUGGCGAAGGCGACUCUCUGGUCUGUAACUGACGCUGAGGAGCGAAAGCGUGGGGAGCGAACAGGAUUAGAUACCCGCGUAGUCCCUGUCUCUUAUAC
RNAcentral lists this ribosomal RNA (301 nucleotides) under uncultured bacterium. RNAcentral describes it as "partial 16S ribosomal RNA". It matches the Rfam family "Bacterial small subunit ribosomal RNA", at positions 509 to 807 of the family's 1533-position model. The record is from RNAcentral.